GAUGAACGCUGGCGGCGUGCCUAAUACAUGCAAGUCGAGCGAACAGACGAGGAGCUUGCUCCUCUGACGUUAGCGGCGGACGGGUGAGUAACACGUGGAUAACCUACCUAUAAACCUGGGAUAACUUCGGGAAACCGGAGCUAAUACCGGAUAAUAUAUUGAACCGCAUGGUUCAAUAGUGAAAGACGGUUUUGCUGUCACUUAUAGAUGGAUCCGCGCCGCAUUAGCUAGUUGGUAAGGUAACGGCUUACCAAGGCAACGAUGCGUAGCCGACCUGAGAGGGUGAUCGGCCACACUGGAACUGAGACACGGUCCAGACUCCUACGGGAGGCAGCAGUAGGGAAUCUUCCGCAAUGGGCGAAAGCCUGACGGAGCAACGCCGCGUGAGUGAUGAAGGUCUUCGGAUCGUAAAACUCUGUUAUUAGGGAAGAACAAAUGUGUAAGUAACUAUGCACGUCUUGACGGUACCUAAUCAGAAAGCCACGGCUAACUACGUG
Molecule: ribosomal RNA, 497 nt
Filed under: uncultured bacterium
Lineage: Bacteria
Description: partial 16S ribosomal RNA
Rfam family: Bacterial small subunit ribosomal RNA
Source: RNAcentral